Molecule: small nuclear RNA, 382 nt
Filed under: Staphylococcus aureus
Lineage: Bacteria; Bacillati; Bacillota; Bacilli; Caryophanales; Staphylococcaceae
Also listed under: 1 other name
Description: SAUSA300s286
Source: RNAcentral
UGGUAAAUAUGUAUUUGCUGUAAACAGUUUUUGUAACACAUGAUACAUAUGGUUGUGAAAAUAGCAUAUAUAAAGGAUGGCUAUAAAUGACACAUUUGACAAAGGUUUUAGAUACACUAACUGGAAUAUGCGUAGUAUUAUUAUUUAGUAAAUAUUUUGUGGCGUAUGCAAAUAUGGUGUUUGAUUGGAAUUUAAGAUGGUAUUUGCUAGAAAACAUACCACAUUUGCCAAUUAUAUUAUUUAUUCUGAUGUUUAUUUUCGGAGUACCUUCUGAAAUGAUAAAAGAUAGGCAAAGGAAAAAUAACGGUGUUUAAUUUAUCGAUAUUUAGAGGUGAUAAAAUUUGUCAACUAUUACAAAGACUAAAAUAAAAAUCUUUAUUAA